This 400-nucleotide ribosomal RNA is filed under the name uncultured fungus. RNAcentral's name for it is "eukaryotic LSU rRNA". The stretch from base 1 to 126 matches the Rfam family "5.8S ribosomal RNA", at positions 29 to 154 of the family's 154-position model. The record is from RNAcentral. Lineage: Eukaryota; Fungi.
CGCAUCGAUGAAGAACGCAGCGAAAUGCGAUAAGUAAUGUGAAUUGCAGAAUUCAGUGAAUCAUCGAAUCUUUGAACGCACCUUGCGCUCCUUGGUAUUCCGAGGAGCAUGCCUGUUUGAGUGUCAUUAAAUUCUCAACCUCAUCAGUUUUGUUAUGAGACUGUGUGAGGCUUGGAUGUGGGGGUUUUUGCAGGCUGCCUCAGUGCGGUCUGCUCCCCUGAAAUGCAUUAGCGAGUUCCAACUGGGCUCCGUCUAUUGGUGUGAUAAUUAUCUACGCCGUGGAUUGGGCUUAGACUUGCUUCUAACCGUCCGCAAGGACAAUCUUUUGACAAUUUGACCUCAAAUCAGGUAGGACUACCCGCUGAACUUAAGCAUAUCAAUAAGCGGAGGAAAAGAAACU